This 60-nucleotide ribosomal RNA is filed under the name Fulvia fulva. RNAcentral's name for it is "Passalora fulva partial 18S ribosomal RNA". It matches the Rfam family "Eukaryotic small subunit ribosomal RNA", at positions 1766 to 1831 of the family's 1831-position model. The record is from RNAcentral. Lineage: Eukaryota; Fungi; Ascomycota; Dothideomycetes; Mycosphaerellales; Mycosphaerellaceae.
UAAUUUUUGGGAAUAAGUCGUAACAAGGUCUCCGUAGGUGAACCUGCGGAGGGAUCAUUA